Molecule: long non-coding RNA, 3047 nt
Filed under: Salmo salar (Atlantic salmon)
Lineage: Eukaryota; Metazoa; Chordata; Actinopteri; Salmoniformes; Salmonidae
Description: lncRNA (ENSSSAG00000087700.1)
Source: RNAcentral
GAGAGAGAGAGAGAGAGAGAGAGAGGAGAGAGAGAGAGAGAGAAGGAGAGAGAGAGAGAAGAGAGAGAGAGAGAGAAGAGAGAGAGAGAGAGAAGAGAGAGAGAGAAGAAGAGAGAGAGAGGAGAGAGAGAGAGAGAGAGAGAGAGAGAGAGAAGAAGAGAGAGAAGAGAGAGAGAGAAGAAGAGAGAGAGAGAGAGAGAAGAAGAGAGAGAGAAGAGAGAGAGAGAGAGAGAGAGAGAGAGAGAGAGAGAGAGAGAGAGAGAGAGAGAGGAAGAAGAGAGAGAAGAAGAGAGAGAAGGAGAGAGAGAAAGAGAGAGAGAGAGAGAGAAGGAGAGAGAGAAAGAGAAGAAGAAGAGAGAGAAGAAGAAGAGAGAGAAGGAGAGAGAGGGACCAUUAUUUACUCUGUAACUCCAUAACUAUUCUAAUGAUGGAAGGUUGUACCUGGUGCAUAGUACCUCUGACUUUAUUCUGUCUGCUUCUCUUCAUCUCUGUGUGUCUCAAUCUCACCCUCUGCAUUCUGAGACACAGGGACACCAGACACAAAGCAGACAAUGAGGAGUUUCUCAACCAACAGCAUUAUCCAAGAGAGAGUAGAUUGGAGGAGGAAGAGGAGGAAGAGGAGAAUCAGCAGCAGGAGAAUCCCAUCUAUGGAAACAUCACUAUAGACUUGUGCUAUGAAUCCAUGACCAAUCAACGUUCCAGAAAUGACAGAAAGCCUGCGCCCCAGCCCCAACAACAACCUGACCUGAACUAUGCUUCUCUUGACCUGAACGUGGGACAGAUACCCAAGAAGAGGAAGCGUCGCUACCAGCAGGCCCAGGCCCAGGCCCAGGCCCUGCCCGAGUCCCAGAUGGGUGGGGGUUUCCUGGAAAUAGAUGCGGAAAUGGAGGCCUCCCUCCCCUCACGGAGUAGCAGCCCUCUGGCUUCUAGAAACAGCAUCUAUCUCAACAGUCUACAGAUGGCACUACAGACAGAGGAGAGGGAAUAAGAGAGAGUCAAGGGGAGGGAGAUGGAGGAGGAUAGAGAUUGGGAUGGAGACAGGAAGUGAGGAGAGGGGGAGAAAGAAACAGUAGGUUGUGAUGGAGGGAUGGAGACUGGAAGUGAGGAGAGGGGCAGAAAGAUACAGUAGAUUGUGAUGGAGGGAUGGAGACAGGAAGUGGGAGAGGGGCAGAAAGAUACAGUAGGUUGUGAUGGAGGGAUUGAGACAGGAAGUAACAUGUGACUGGGGUUAGAGGUUAGGGAGGAAGACCAACGGUCCUAAAUGUGAACUCAAGAACUCAAUUAGGCAGAGAGAGCGAGAAAGAGAGGGAGGGAGAGAGACAAAGAGAAUGAGAGAGAGAGAGAGAACUUGUGUUUAUUUUUUUAUUUUUUGUAUUUAACCUUUAUUUAACUAGGCAAGUACAGGUAGACAAACAUAUUAACCUACUUUAACCUCUAGCCAAUAUGUUACAAUCAGACAUUAUAGAGAAAGGGGCUCCCACUGCAUAAACUGCAGAUAUGUAUAUAUUAUUAUUAUUAUUAUUAUAUAUUUUUAUUAUUAGUAGUGUUCGUAUAUACAGUGUACAGUGCAUUCGAAGAGUAUUCAGACCCCUUGACUUUUUCCACAUUUGGUGACGUUACAGCCUUAUUCUAAAAUUAAUUUUUAAAAAACAAUUCCCCUCAUCAAUCUACAAACAAAAGCUCAUAAUCACAAAGCAUAAACAGUUUUUUAGGAUUUUUUUUUUAUACAAAUGUAUUAAAAAUAAAAAUCUGAAUAUCACAUUUACAUAAGUAUUCAGACCCUAUAAUCAGUACUUUGUUGAAGCACCUUUAGCAGCGAUUACAGCCUUGAGUCUUCUUGGUUAUGACGCUACAAGCUUGGCACACCUGUAUUUGGGGAGUUUCUCCCAUUCUUUUCUGCAGAUCCUCUCAAGCUCUGUCAGGUUGGAUGGGAGGGCGUCGCUGCACAGCUAUUUUCAGAGCUGUUAGAUCGGGUUCAAGCCCGGGCUCUGGCUGGGUCACUCAACUACAUUCAGAGACUUGUCCCGAAGCCACUCCUGCGUUGUCUUGGCUGUGUGCUUAGGGUCGUUGUUCUGUUGGAAGGUGAACCUUCGGCCCCCAGUCUGAGUUCCUGAGCGCUCUGGAGCAGGUUUUCAUCAAGGAUCUCUCUGUACUUUGCUCAGUUCAUCUUUCCCUCGUUCCUGACUAUUCUCCCAGUCCCUGCCGCUGAAAAACAUCCCCACAACAUGAUGCUGCCAUCACCACGCUUCACCGUAGGGAUUGUGCCAGGGAUGCUUCCAAAAAAUGUUUUUAAUCAAUUUUAGAAUAAGGCUGUAAUGUAACAAAAUGUAGAAAAUGGGAAGGGGUCUGAAUACUUUCUGAAGGCACUGUAUAUAUACAUUCUCAAAAGUUUUUCUUUAUUUUGACUAUUUUCUACGUUGUAGAAUAAUAGUGAAGACAUCAAAACUAUGAAAUAACACAUAUGGACUCAUGUAGUAACCAAAAAAGUGUUAAACAAAUCAAAAUAUAUUUUAUAUUUGAGAUUCUUCAAAUAGCUACUCUUUGCCUUGAUGACAGCUUUGCACACUAUUGGCAUUCUCUCAACCAGCUUCACCUGGAAUGCUUUUCCAAUGUUCUUGAAGGAAUUCCCACAUGCUGAGCACUUGUUGGCUGCUUUUCCUUCAAUCUGCGGUCCAACUCAUCCCAAACCAUCUCAAUUGGGUUGAGGUCGGGUGAUUGUGGAGGCCAGGUCAUCUGAUGCAGCACUCCAUCACUCUCCUUCUUGGUCAAAUAGCCCUUUCACAGCCUGGAUGUGUUUUGGGUCAUUGUCCUGUUGAAAAACAAAUGAUAGUCCCACUAAGUGCAAACCAGAUAGGAUGGUGUAUUGCUGCAGUUGUAAAUGAGAACUUGAUCUCAACUAGCCUACCUGGUUAAAUAAAGCUGAAAUAAAAUGUUAAAAAAUGAAUCAUUUCUGAAGGCACUGUACCUCUCAAAUCUCAUGCAGGGAGGGGUAGACAACACAUUCACACAUUCACACGGACUGACUGACUGACUGGCUGACUGACUGG